UACGUAGGGGGCGAGCGUUGUCCGGAUUUAUUGGGCGUAAAGAGCGUGUAGGCGGUUCGGUAAGUCUGUCGUGAAAUCCUGAGGCUCAACCUCGGGCGUGCGAUGGAUACUGCCGGGCUAGAGGGUGGUAGAGGCGAGUGGAAUUCCCGGUGUAGCGGUGAAAUGCGUUGAUAUCCUAAGGAACACCGGUGGCGAAAGCGGCUCACUGGAUCUCUUCUGACGCUGAGGCACGAAAGCUAGGGUAGCGAACGGG
Molecule: ribosomal RNA, 253 nt
Filed under: uncultured bacterium
Lineage: Bacteria
Description: partial 16S ribosomal RNA
Rfam family: Bacterial small subunit ribosomal RNA
Source: RNAcentral